Anaeromyces robustus is the source of this 73-nucleotide transfer RNA. It matches the Rfam family "tRNA". Rfam says of the family: Transfer RNA (tRNA) molecules are approximately 80 nucleotides in length. NCBI's taxonomy places the organism in Eukaryota, Fungi, Neocallimastigomycota, Neocallimastigomycetes, Neocallimastigales, Neocallimastigaceae. The record is from Rfam.
GCCUGUGUGGCCUAAUGGAUAAGGCAUUGCCCUCCUAAGGCAAGGACUGUGGGUUCGAGUCCCAUCUCAGGUG